RNAcentral lists this ribosomal RNA (782 nucleotides) under uncultured bacterium. RNAcentral describes it as "bacterial SSU rRNA". It matches the Rfam family "Bacterial small subunit ribosomal RNA", at positions 56 to 882 of the family's 1533-position model. The record is from RNAcentral.
UGCAAGUCGAACGGGCUCUUCGGAGCUAGUGGCGGACGGGUGAGUAACGCGUGAGAAUCUGCCUCCAGGUCUGGGACAACAGAAGGAAACUUCUGCUAAUCCCGGAUGAGCCCUUGGGUAAAAGAUAAAUUGCCUGGAGAUGAGCUCGCGUCUGAUUAGCUAGUUGGUGUGAUAAAAGCAUACCAAGGCGACGAUCAGUAGCUGGUCUGAGAGGAUGAGCAGCCACACUGAGACUGAGACACGGCCCAGACUCCUACGGGAGGCAGCAGUGGGGAAUUUUCCGCAAUGGGCGAAAGCCUGACGGAGCAAGACCGCGUGGGGGAGGAAAGCUCUAGGGUUGUAAACCCCUUUUCUUUGGGAAGAAGUACUGACGGUACCAAAGGAAUCAGCCUCGGCUAACUCCGUGCCAGCAGCCGCGGUAAUACGGAGGAGGCAAGCGUUAUCCGGAAUGAUUGGGCGUAAAGCGUCCGCAGGUGGCCAUGUAAGUCUGCUGUCAAAACCCAGGGCUUAACUCUGGUCAGGCAGUGGAAACUACAAAGCUAGAGUUCGGUAGGGGCAAAGGGAAUUCCCGGUGUAGCGGUGAAAUGCGUAGAUAUCGGGAAGAACAUCGGUGGCGAAAGCGCUUUGCUAGACCAAAACUGACACUCAGGGACGAAAGCUAGGGGAGCGAAUGGGAUUAGAUACCCCAGUAGUCCUAGCCGUAAACGAUGGAUACUAGGUGUUGCCUGUAUCGACCCAGGCAGUGCCGUAGCUAACGCGUUAAGUAUCCCGCCUGGGGAGUA